AUUGAACGCUGGCGGAAUGCUUUACACAUGCAAGUCGAACGGCAGCACGGACUUCGGUCUGGUGGCGAGUGGCGAACGGGUGAGUAAUGUAUCGGAACGUGCCCAGUCGUGGGGGAUAACGUAGUGAAAAUUACGCUAAUACCGCAUACGAUCUAUGGAUGAAAGCGGGGGAUCGCAAGACCUAGCGCGAUUGGAGCGGCCGAUAUCAGAUUAGGUAGUUGGUGGGGUAAAGGCCCACCAAGCCAACGAUCUGUAGCUGGUCUGAGAGGACGACCAGCCACACUGGAACUGAGACACGGUCCAGACUCCUACGGGAGUCAGCAGUGGGGAAUUUUGGACAAUGGGCGAAAGCCUGAUCCAGCCAUUCCGCGUGCAGGAUGAGGGCCCUCGGGUUGUAAACUGCUUUUGUACAGAACGAAAAGGUUUCUACUAAUACUAGGAGCUCAUGACGGUACUGUAAGAAUAAGCACCGGCUAACUACGUGCCAGCAGCCGCCGUAA
RNAcentral lists this ribosomal RNA (500 nucleotides) under uncultured bacterium. RNAcentral describes it as "partial 16S ribosomal RNA". It matches the Rfam family "Bacterial small subunit ribosomal RNA", at positions 30 to 523 of the family's 1533-position model. The record is from RNAcentral.